Non-coding RNA from Paramuricea clavata, 201 nucleotides. The record is from the annotation of a GenBank genome assembly. NCBI's taxonomy places the organism in Eukaryota, Metazoa, Cnidaria, Anthozoa, Malacalcyonacea, Plexauridae.
GUGAGCUGUUGCACGGUGUAGGCCUAAGCUGCAAGAUCCCCCAGUGCGUGCGGUUGCGUUUAGAGAGUCACUUAGUAUUCACGCGCGCCUACCAUUUCCUAUAAAAAUUAAACCUGUUGAACUAUUUCAGGCACGAGUAUUAUUACAAAAUGCGUAUCCACGUUACCUUGCAACUUGUCAGCUUGCACGCACGAACACCAG